Small nuclear RNA from Malaya genurostris, 102 nucleotides. The record is from RefSeq and is a predicted model, not a curated record. NCBI's taxonomy places the organism in Eukaryota, Metazoa, Arthropoda, Insecta, Diptera, Culicidae.
GUCCUAGCUUCGGCUGGACAUAUACUAAAAUUGGAACGAUACAGAGAAGAUUAGCAUGGCCCCCCCUGCGCAUUUUUUCCAGAAAAUAUACAUUAAACAUGU